Molecule: non-coding RNA, 29 nt
Filed under: Mus musculus (house mouse)
Lineage: Eukaryota; Metazoa; Chordata; Mammalia; Rodentia; Muridae
Source: RNAcentral
UUCUGCAUCAGCAACCAUUGGCCUAGUUG